AUUGAACGCUGGCGGCAGGCCUAACACAUGCAAGUCGAGCGGAUGAAGGGAGCUUGCUCCUGGAUUCAGCGGCGGACGGGUGAGUAAUGCCUAGGAAUCUGCCUGGUAGUGGGGGAUAACGUCCGGAAACGGGCGCUAAUACCGCAUACGUCCUGAGGGAGAAAGUGGGGGAUCUUCGGACCUCACGCUAUCAGAUGAGCCUAGGUCGGAUUAGCUAGUUGGUGGGGUAAAGGCCUACCAAGGCGACGAUCCGUAACUGGUCUGAGAGGAUGAUCAGUCACACUGGAACUGAGACACGGUCCAGACUCCUACGGGAGGCAGCAGUGGGGAAUAUUGGACAAUGGGCGAAAGCCUGAUCCAGCCAUGCCGUGUGUGUGAAGAAGGUCUUCGGAUCGUAAAGCACUUUAAGUUGGGAGGAAGGGCAGUAAGUUAAUACCUUGCUGUUUUGACGUUACCAACAGAAUAAGCACCGGCUAACUUCGUG
Molecule: ribosomal RNA, 484 nt
Filed under: uncultured bacterium
Lineage: Bacteria
Description: partial 16S ribosomal RNA
Rfam family: Bacterial small subunit ribosomal RNA
Source: RNAcentral